GGGCACGUGGCUUAGCCUGAUGGAGCGCCGAACUUCUGCGUCCUUGGCGCAGAGUGUGUAUGCCUUAUAUGGUGUCGCUCCGAACAUUCGAUUGCGAAGCCUAGGUAAGCCGGAGGUCGCGGGUUUGAAUCCCGCCGUGCCCACCA
Molecule: transfer RNA, 146 nt
Filed under: Candidatus Hermodarchaeota archaeon
Lineage: Archaea; Promethearchaeati; Candidatus Hermodarchaeota
Also listed under: 1 other name
Description: tRNA-OTHER
Rfam family: tRNA
About the family: Transfer RNA (tRNA) molecules are approximately 80 nucleotides in length. Their secondary structure includes four short double-helical elements and three loops (D, anti-codon, and T loops).
Source: RNAcentral